This 250-nucleotide ribosomal RNA is filed under the name uncultured bacterium. RNAcentral describes it as "partial 16S ribosomal RNA". It matches the Rfam family "Bacterial small subunit ribosomal RNA", at positions 358 to 604 of the family's 1533-position model. The record is from RNAcentral.
GGAAUAUUGGACAAUGGGCGAAAGCCUGAUCCAGCUAUCCCGCGUGCAGGAUGACGGCCCUAUGGGUUGUAAACUGCUUUUGUCAGGGAAUAAACCCCCUCAUUUACUGAGGGGCUGAAGGUACCUGAAGAAUAAGCACCGGCUAACUCCGUGCCAGCAGCCGCGGUAAUACGGAGGGUGCAAGCGUUAUCCGGAAUCACUGGGUUCAAAGGGCGCGUAGGUGGCUUGAUAAGUCAGUGGUGAAAGCCCA